UUGGAGGGCAAGUCUGGUGCCAGCAGCCGCAGUAAUUCCAGCUCCAAUAGCGUAUAUUAAAGUUGUUGCAGUUAAAAAGCUCGUAGUUGAACUUCGGGAUCAAUUAGUUGGUCAUGCCUUGGUAUGUACUGAUUUUAUUGGUUCUCACCUUCUAAAGAACUAUAAUGUCAUUUAUUUGAUGUUAUAGGGAAUUAGGACUGUUACCUUGAAAAAAUUAGAGUGUUUAAAGCAGGCUCACGCUUGAAUACAUUAGCAUGGAAUAAUGAAAUAGGACAUCGCAUUCUAUUUUGUUGGUUUCUAGGAUCGAUGUAAUGAUUAAUAGGGAUAGUUGGGGGCAUUAGUAUUCAAUUGUCAGAGGUGAAAUUCUUGGAUUUAUUGAAGACUAACUACUGCGAAAGCAUUUGCCAAGGAUGUUUUCAUUAAUCAAGAACGAAAGUUAGGGGAUCGAAGACGAUCAGAUACCGUCGUAGUCUUAACCAUAAACUAUGCCGACUAGGGAUCGGAUGAUGUUGAUUUUUUAAUGACUCAUUCGGCACCUUACGGGAAACCAAAGUGUUUGGGUUC
RNAcentral lists this ribosomal RNA (564 nucleotides) under uncultured Glomeromycotina. RNAcentral describes it as "SSU rRNA". It matches the Rfam family "Eukaryotic small subunit ribosomal RNA", at positions 548 to 1114 of the family's 1831-position model. Lineage: Eukaryota; Fungi; Glomeromycota. The record is from RNAcentral.